This 503-nucleotide ribosomal RNA is filed under the name uncultured bacterium. Its description in RNAcentral is "partial 16S ribosomal RNA". It matches the Rfam family "Bacterial small subunit ribosomal RNA", at positions 30 to 523 of the family's 1533-position model. The record is from RNAcentral.
AUUGAACGCUGGCGGCAGGCUUAACACAUGCAAGUCGAGCGGGGUGAUGGUGCUUGCACUAUCACUUAGCGGCGGACGGGUGAGUAAUGCUUAGGAAUCUGCCUAUUAGUGGGGGACAACAUCUCGAAAGGGAUGCUAAUACCGCAUACGCCCUACGGGAGAAAGCAGGGGAUCACUUGUGACCUUGCGCUAAUAGAUGAGCCUAAGUCGGAUUAGCUAGUUGGUGGGGUAAAGGCCUACCAAGGCGACGAUCUGUAGCGGGUCUGAGAGGAUGAGCCGCCACACUGGGACUGAGACACGGCCCAGACUCCUACGGGAGGCAGCAGUGGGGAAUAUUGGACAAUGGGGGGAACCCUGAUCCAGCCAUGCCGCGUGUGUGAAGAAGGCCUUAUGGUUGUAAAGCACUUUAAGCGAGGAGGAGGCUCUUUUGGUUAAUACCCAAGAUGAGUGGACGUUACUCGCAGAAUAAGCACCGGCUAACUCUGUGCCAGCAGCCGCCGUAA